CAUUAAAUCAUAGGCAAUUGUAUACAACUGUUAUUUUCAAGGAAGCUGUCUUAUUAUUUUCUACCUUAUGUACAGAAUGAAAGGAGAAAUAAUGAAUUAAGCAGAAUAUAAUGAAUGUAGCCAGGGUUGACUCCACUGACAGUGUAUUUUAUUGCAUUUCUGAUUCUUAAAUUCCUGCAUUAUAGAAUUUUAUGAUAACUUCUAUCCAUUUCAUUACAAUAAUUAACAAUUCUAUAAUAUGAAUCAUAUAACUGCUACUGUUGCUGCAGAAAUCAUUUUUCACUUGGUGUAAUGAUUUUUCCCAAAUCUUCCACAAGGUUGCAAGCAAGAUAAGUGCUAGGGCCUUAGGGUGCUUUUUUGAUAAAGAAUAAGAAGAGAAAUAAUCUAGGAGAGAGACCACAUGGUAGAAUGACACCAUUCCAAUCCAUUUAAAGAUCAAAUACCAAAUUUCCGCUACCAAGUUACAUCGACAAAACAAGUGAUCCUCCACCUCUCGUUUCCUCGGACACCACACACAAUCCGAUCUAACACCAUCCACUAACACUCCUCUUCUAGAUAAAUUUGAGCAAGUCGGGAGUUUACCAGGAAUUACUUGCCAAGAGAAAAUUUAUUAUCGUAUGGUUGUAAGCAAACCGACACUUUUCCUUACCAAUGAGGAAAG
Molecule: long non-coding RNA, 661 nt
Filed under: Medicago truncatula (barrel medic)
Lineage: Eukaryota; Viridiplantae; Streptophyta; Magnoliopsida; Fabales; Fabaceae
Description: long non-coding RNA (MTRU_LNC000559)
Source: RNAcentral